This is a non-coding RNA of Pelobates cultripes (western spadefoot toad), 330 nucleotides long. The record is from the annotation of a GenBank genome assembly. NCBI's taxonomy places the organism in Eukaryota, Metazoa, Chordata, Amphibia, Anura, Pelobatidae.
CUGGAGGGGAGUAAACAAUUGAAAUGUACAACAUUCUAAAAAAGAUACUGAUGUGCAUUAAUUGUAAGACUGACUAUAGGCUUAAGAUCUUUACACCUAUAUACUGUGCUGUUUUCACUUUUCAUGAAUUAUUUUUCAUGUGUUUCUGGUUCUCUGCAUGCAACAUGUGUAGGUUCAUCUGGCAUACAUUCUAAAGAACAAGAAUCCACAUCAUGCAUAACCCAAUCCAUUAACUGAACUAGAGUAUAAAGAGCUUAUGUAUCUGGAAAAUUAUCAUUAUCAGUGAGAGGAAUAGAUGCAUUUAUUUCGUCCCACACUUCCAGACAUCCU